Canis lupus familiaris (dog) is the source of this 546-nucleotide long non-coding RNA. RefSeq lists it as uncharacterized. The transcript has 5 exons. Lineage: Eukaryota; Metazoa; Chordata; Mammalia; Carnivora; Canidae. The record is from RefSeq and is a predicted model, not a curated record.
AUGUGAUGUCAUUCCUUUGUCCGAAAGUUCUAAAGCCUCCCGCCCACAGAGAAUAUAGUCCAGGCUCCUCAGUCAGAUGUCAGGAUGGCUAUGUCACCCCUAUGCAUCACCAGCGUAAACUCCUCUACUGAAUAGGGAAAUCUGGAGGCUUCCCAAAAAUGUAACACUGUGAUUAACAGAACCUCUUCUCUGCUCAUCUAUAACAGCAAGGGUUUCUUAGACUUCACUGGAAUCAUUAUCUUUUAGAGAUACACACCAGAAUAUUUAUGAAGUAUGCGUGAAAGGCUGCAGUCAUCUACAGGUCUCUCUAGGGCUGAAGGAUCUCCUUUCACAGGGGCUCCCUCCUAUGAGAGCCUGCAGUGGGAAUUGAAUGAGAUCAUCUUCCUCCAUAAACCACUCAAUAAAUAUUUGUGGGAUGACUGAAUGAAUAUACCAUAUACAUAACUUGUUUUCUGCAAGUGAAAAAAAGUGGAAGGAAGAAAAAGAAUAAAUCUCUGAUAAUGCACUAUGAAGAAAUGAGCACUCCUACCAUCUACAAUCUACUGG